UACGUAGGUGGCAAGCGUUGUCCGGAUUUAUUGGGCGUAAAGGGAGCGCAGGCGGUGACUUAAGUCUGAUGUGAAAGCCCACGGCUCAACCGUGGAGGGUCAUUGGAAAUGGGUCACUUGAGUACAGAAGAGGAAAGCGGAAUUCCAUGUGUAGCGGUGAAAUGCGUAGAUAUAUGGAGGAACACCAGUGGCGAAAGCGGCUUUCUGGUCUGAAACUGACGCUGAGGCUCGAAAGCGUGG
This 240-nucleotide ribosomal RNA is filed under the name uncultured Facklamia sp. RNAcentral describes it as "partial 16S ribosomal RNA". It matches the Rfam family "Bacterial small subunit ribosomal RNA", at positions 524 to 764 of the family's 1533-position model. The record is from RNAcentral. Lineage: Bacteria; Bacillati; Bacillota; Bacilli; Lactobacillales; Aerococcaceae.